Molecule: ribosomal RNA, 539 nt
Filed under: uncultured bacterium
Lineage: Bacteria
Description: bacterial SSU rRNA
Rfam family: Bacterial small subunit ribosomal RNA
Source: RNAcentral
CGCACAAGCAACGGAGCAUGUGGUUUAAUUCGAAGCAACGCGAAGAACCUUACCAGGACUUGACAUUCCCUGUGACCGGUCCUUAAUAGGACCUUUNCCUUCGGGGGACAGAGGAGACAGGUGGUGCAUGGUUGUCGUCAGCUCGUGUCGUGAGAUGUUGGGUUAAGUCCCGCAACGAGCGCAACCCUUGUCUUUAGUUGCCAGCAGGUUAAGCUGGGCACUCUAGAGAGACUGCCGGUGACAAACCGGAGGAAGGUGGGGAUGACGUCAAAUCAUCAUGCCCCUUAUGUUCUGGGCUACACACGUGCUACAAUGGCUGGUACAACGGGAGGCCAAAGAGUAAUCUGGAGCGAAUCCCAAAAAGCCAGUCCCAGUUCGGAUUGUGGGCUGCAACUCGCCCACAUGAAGUUGGAGUUGCUAGUAAUCGCGGAUCAGAAUGUCGCGGUGAAUGCGUUCCCGGGUCUUGUACACACCGCCCGUCACACCACGGGAGCUUAGGGCACCCGAAGUCAGCUAUCUAACCGCAAGGAGGAAGCUGC